Molecule: ribosomal RNA, 496 nt
Filed under: uncultured bacterium
Lineage: Bacteria
Description: partial 16S ribosomal RNA
Rfam family: Bacterial small subunit ribosomal RNA
Source: RNAcentral
GAUGAACGCUGGCGGCGUGCCUAAUACAUGCAAGUCGAGCGAACGGACGAGAAGCUUGCUUCUCUGAUGUUAGCGGCGGACGGGUGAGUAACACGUGGAUAACCUACCUAUAAGACCGGGAUAACUUCGGGAAACCGGAGCUAAUACCGGAUGAUAUUUUGAACCGCAUGGUUCAAAAGUGAAAGACGGUCUUGCUGUCACUUAUAGAUGGAUCCGCGCUGCAUUAGCUAGUUGGUAAGGUAACGGCUUACCAAGGCAACGAUGCAUAGCCGACCUGAGAGGGUGAUCGGCCACACUGGAACUGAGACACGGUCCAGACUCCUACGGGAGGCAGCAGUAGGGAAUCUUCCGCAAUGGGCGAAAGCCUGACGGAGCAACGCCGAGUGAGUGAUGAAGGUCUUCGGAUCGUAAAACUCUGUUAUUAGGGAAGAACAUAUGUGUAAGUAACUGUGCACAUCUUGACGGUACCUAAUCAGAAAGCCACGGCUAACUACGU